This is a non-coding RNA of Aedes albopictus (Asian tiger mosquito), 58 nucleotides long. The record is from Rfam. NCBI's taxonomy places the organism in Eukaryota, Metazoa, Arthropoda, Insecta, Diptera, Culicidae.
UAGCCUAGUGGUUAAGGCUAUGGAUCGCCAAUCCGGAGACGGCGGGUUCGAAUCCCGU